AAGACUAUAGACCUGCGGAGUACCUGCGGAGGGAUCAUUACCGAGUUUACAACUCCCAAACCCCCUGUGAACCUAUACCCUUACACCGUUGCUUCGGCGGGUCUUCGCCCCGGGCUCCAGGCCACGCUCCCCCCCAGGCCACGCUCCUCCCCCUCUCGCGGGGGGCGGGCCGGCCCGGAACCAGGCGCCCGCCGGGGGACCACAAGCUCUGUGUUAUUACUUCUGGCAUGUCUGAGUGGA
RNAcentral lists this unclassified non-coding RNA (240 nucleotides) under soil metagenome. Its description in RNAcentral is "partial contains 5.8S ribosomal RNA, internal transcribed spacer 2, and large subunit ribosomal RNA". The record is from RNAcentral.